UCCCUUGUAACUUAGCUGGUAAAGAAUCUGCCUGCAAUGCAGGAGACCUGGGUUCAAUUCCUGGGUUGGGAA
RNAcentral lists this transfer RNA (72 nucleotides) under Bos taurus (domestic cattle). It matches the Rfam family "tRNA". Rfam says of the family: Transfer RNA (tRNA) molecules are approximately 80 nucleotides in length. Their secondary structure includes four short double-helical elements and three loops (D, anti-codon, and T loops). RNAcentral also lists the same sequence under 5 other names. Lineage: Eukaryota; Metazoa; Chordata; Mammalia; Artiodactyla; Bovidae. The record is from Rfam by way of RNAcentral.